Molecule: ribosomal RNA, 416 nt
Filed under: Anguilla rostrata (American eel)
Lineage: Eukaryota; Metazoa; Chordata; Actinopteri; Anguilliformes; Anguillidae
Description: partial large subunit ribosomal RNA
Rfam family: Bacterial large subunit ribosomal RNA
Source: RNAcentral
CGCCUCUUGCUAACAAAGGAAGUACUAGAGGUCCCGCCUGCCCUGUGACCACAAAGUUUAACGGCCGCGGUAUCCUGACCGUGCGAAGGUAGCGUAAUCAUUUGUCUUUUAAAUAGAGACCUGUAUGAAUGGCAUAACGAGGGUUUAACUGUCUCCUUCCCCCAGUCAAUGAAAUUGAUCUGCCCGUGCAGAAGCGGACAUAAAUACAUAAGACGAGAAGACCCUAUGGAGCUUUAGACAAAAGAUCAAACAUGUAAAGAAACCAAAACAACCAAAAGGAACACGAAGGCCACAAAACCCAACGUAAACUGAUCUAAAUGUCUUCGRUUGGGGCGACCAUGGGGGAAAGAAAAGCCCCCACGAGGAACAGGGACAACCCCUAAACUAAGAGGGACACCUCUAAGCAACAGAAAAUC